Molecule: transfer RNA, 73 nt
Filed under: Camelus bactrianus (Bactrian camel)
Lineage: Eukaryota; Metazoa; Chordata; Mammalia; Artiodactyla; Camelidae
Also listed under: 2 other names
Rfam family: tRNA
About the family: Transfer RNA (tRNA) molecules are approximately 80 nucleotides in length. Their secondary structure includes four short double-helical elements and three loops (D, anti-codon, and T loops).
Source: Rfam by way of RNAcentral
GAGGGUGUAGCUCAAAUGGUGGAGCACAUGCCUAGCAUGCAUGAGAUCCUGGGUUCAGUCGACAGUACCUCCA